This 2593-nucleotide long non-coding RNA is filed under the name Marmota monax (woodchuck). The record is from RNAcentral. Lineage: Eukaryota; Metazoa; Chordata; Mammalia; Rodentia; Sciuridae.
UUCCCUUGCAAGUGUGGUCCUAGGAGAGGACCUGGCAUACCUUAGGUUGAAACUCAGAAAACCUCAAGACAUCACCAUCAACAGGUUCCAACCGAACACUAGUUCAUGUAAUUUUAAACAUCUAGCAGUAAAUACUUGCAGUUGUGACAUAAAGGACCCUGUUUCUGUAGAAAAGAAAACAUUUAACAUAAUGGUUGUGAAAUGUAACAUGAAGCAACUAACUUGUAUUUUUUUGUUUGUUUUGUUUUAAAACAGCUUUUUAAAAAUAGAAUGAUAGAACUUUGUCAGUCUAAAAUGUUGGCUUAAUUUAAUAUAUUAAUUUGUCCAUUUAGAAAUAACACCAACAUUUAGAAAUGCUAUGGGGAUGGAUUGCAUUUUUUUGUAACAAAAUUUUUUUUUUUAAAGUUUGGUAUUAUAAAACAUUCAAGUGUCUCUGUCCCUUAAAAUUGAUAAUCAUGUUUAAAGUGCAGUCAUUUGUGGUUAUAAUUUUGUGUUGCUUGCUUCCAUUACUUAAUUCCUCCUAAGGAAAUUGAAGAGAGGGAUUGGAUGGAAGCCCAAAUUUAUAUAAAGAUUCCAUUUAAGUUGUAUUAAAAAUAGUCAUACAAAAAGAAAAAAAAAAAAAAAAAAGCCUUUCACUUGAUGUUGGGUAGACCAUAAAGUGCAUGUGUUCUGUUGCCCUUGGAACUGCUCAGUUCCCAGACAGCUUUGCAGUUAGUGGAGGAGGUGGCUUAAAUGCAACACUUGGGCAUUCGUACUGCACACACAGGGAGUCUCUGGGCUCCUGCCUUUUGGAGCAGGUGGCUUUUAAGGAACUCUGGCAGGGUAUGUGGGCUCCAAAGUAGAUGUUUCUUUUCAUCACUUGUUCCACUGUGUUGACACUGUUUUCCUUACCUAUUUCCCCUAAUUCCCAGCUUUCUCCUCUGCUAUGCAGUUUCUUCACAGAGCAGCUUGCGGUCCGUUGCUGAAAAUUAUUAUAAAGCUCUGCAUAGUGUUAAGCUUUAUUGUGAUUAAGUGUAUUUUUUUUUUUUAAUGUAAGCAGACUCACACCUUUCCAGGGUCAAAGUACAGGAUAGAAUACAAACUUAUUUUUAUCCAUGUCUUUUACUCUGUGUAAAGAUUUUAAAAGUCAAAUCCAAAGGCAGGCCAACACCGAAUUGAGUGUAAUUUGAACACAGGCUAAAAGUAUUUAUGGGAGGAGUGAUAUAUAGCAUGAGUUACCUGAUUUUUGUGGAAUAUUUUAAGUUUUCAUUUUCAAUUCAUGUAACGGUUGUCUUACAUUACAUAAUAAAACAGCCCUGUUCAAUUUUUUUUUUUUUUUUUAAUGUGGCUUGAAGAAUUUUUUUGAAAAGUGAAUUUAGGUGUUUUUUUUUUCCAUGUGGAAUGCAGAUGGGUGCUAUCAGAGCCUCUCCCCCAUCACUAUGGUACAAUAAUAUCACCAUUACACCACACUGAAAUGUAUUCAGAAAGAUGUUUCAGCUUUAUUCUUCAGAAGUGUUUCAGUCAUACUGAUGAUACUGUUCUUUGCACUGAAUAUAUAAACACUAUAUAAACACUCCACAGUGUUUAUAUUAGGGAGAUGUUGGGGAGGAACUAUAUUUGUAAAAGAGGAAGGUUGUAUCCAUUUACUUUAUCCCCCACCCCCCAUAUACACAGUGAUUCACUUAAAUUCUUUUGAGGGUGGGAUGCAUUUUUCUUCCUGUUGAGUGCUUUACCUUCUUAUCUGUUGUUCUUUGGUCACGGUGACCUUAGCUAUGUAGCAGACUUUCCCAAAUGUAUUGAGUUCAAAUAAACAGUUACUUAGCAAGACCUGAAAAUAUGUCUGCAGAUUUCUCCUUGCAGUAAAUGAGUGGGGAUCAUUGGAUUUCCAGAAAUCUGCCACCUUCAUUCUCUAUUGACAUUGUAUUUCAUGCCUACUUCCUUCUUCCCACUGAGCUAAAAAAUGACAGGUUUAAAUCGUUAGUGUUGAUUGCCAUUACAGGAUUAUUCAGCAAAAUUUCUUCAAAAUUCCUUUUGUCCCCCCCCCUUCAGUUUUUGAAGGUGCAGCUUCCUGGUUGAAUGUCUGGCACAUUAAUGAAUGACCAACAGUUUUCAGCUCUUAAAAAGGCACUUAUAUUUGGAUUUUCUGGUUACCCGUCCCAUUGUUGUAAACUGCCCACUCUAUCAGAUGUAUUCCUCCAUUUUUCUUAUCCACAAAGUACUCUUCACCUUUUUCAAACUGUCAUGUUACUAAAUGGUGUUACAUUAAAGUCCCUGUGUUAAGUGUCUGCUUUUGACUCAACUUCUUCAUAAUAACCUGUUUCAGUAGUGGGUUAAUUGUUCUUUCAUUGGUUACUAUGUGGGAAUUUGCUAAUAUAUGGAAAUUGUUAUGAACAGUGAAAUAAUUAUGAAUUUGAUCCAAUCUUAUUUUUAUUUAGCUCUUGCCUCUUCCAAUUGUGGUUCAGUAGUUUCUGUUGUAAAAGGAGGCGGUGCUACUGGUAAUUUAUAGAUAAUCUUUUAAGAUUUAUGGGGGCCCGUUAAACUUAAAUUUUUAUUAGAAAAUAAUCGUUCUUCAGAAUCAGACUCCAUAGUUAAAAUACUCUUGGCAUAACUUUAG